AUAAACGCUGGCGGUGUGCUUUAUGCAUGCAAGUCGAACGGUUCCGAUUUAUCGGAAUAGUGGCGAACGGGUGAGUAACACGUAAGUAACCUGCCCUUAAGUGGAGAAUAACUUCGGGAAACUGAGGCUAAUACUGCAUAUGAUGGCGAGGGUAAUGCCUUGUCAUUAAAGCCUUCGGGCGCUUGAGGAGGGGCUUGCGUUCGAUUAGCUAGUUGGUAGGGUAACGGCCUACCAAGGCAAUUAUCGAUAGCUGGUCUGAGAGGAUGAUCAGCCACACUGGGACUGAGACACGGCCCAGACUCCUACGGGAGGCAGCAGCAAGGAAUUUUGUGCAAUGGGCGAAAGCCUGACACAGCAACACCGCGUGAGGGAUGAAGGCCUUCGGGUUGUAAACCUCUUUUACUAGGGAAGAAUAAUGACGGUACCUAGUGAAUAAGCUUCGGCUAACUACGU
This 453-nucleotide ribosomal RNA is filed under the name uncultured bacterium. RNAcentral's name for it is "bacterial SSU rRNA". It matches the Rfam family "Bacterial small subunit ribosomal RNA", at positions 29 to 506 of the family's 1533-position model. The record is from RNAcentral.